Molecule: small RNA, 862 nt
Filed under: Pongo abelii (Sumatran orangutan)
Lineage: Eukaryota; Metazoa; Chordata; Mammalia; Primates; Hominidae
Description: processed transcript
Source: RNAcentral
AUGCACCAGAUAAUCAAUACAUAACAGGUUUCUACUUACUGGUUAUUGGCAUUUUAAGGAACUUUAAAAAGAGUAAAUCUGUUUAAUAUAUUCUUUUUUGUUUUCUUCAUUAGAUCCCCUCAGCAGAGUGUGUUUAAGACCAAGAAAUGUAACUGAUUCAUUGAGCACCUACAUUAAUGCUAAUUAUAUUAGGGGCUACAGUGGCAAGGAGAAAGCCUUCAUUGCCACGCAGGGCCCCAUGAUAAACACCGUGGAUGAUUUCUGGCAGAUGGUUUGGCAGGAAGACAGCCCUGUGAUUGUUAUGAUCACAAAACUCAAAGAAAAAAAUGAGAAAUGUGUGCUAUACUGGCCAGAAAAGAGAGGGAUAUAUGGGAAAGUUGAGGUUCUGGUUAUCAGUGUAAAUGAAUGUGAUAACUACACCAUUCGAAACCUUGUCUUAAAGCAAGGAAGCCACACCCAACAUGUGAAGCAUUACUGGUAUACCUCAUGGCCUGAUCACAAGACUCCAGACAGUGCCCAGCCCCUCCUACAGCUCAUGCUGGAUGUAGAAGAAGACAGACUUGCUUCCCAGGGCCGAGGGCCUGUGGUUGUCCACUGCAGUGCAGGAAUAGGUAGAACAGGGUGUUUUAUUGCUACAUCCAUUGGCUGUCAACAGUUGAAAGAAGAAGGAGUUGUGGAUGCACUAAGCAUUGUCUGCCAGCUUCGUAUGGAUAGAGGUGGAAUGGUGCAAACCAGUGAGCAGUAUGAAUUUGUGCACCAUGCUCUGUGCCUGUAUGAGAGCAGACUUUCAGCAGAGACUGUCCAGUGAGUCAUUGAAGACUUGUCAGACCAUCAAUCUCUUGGGGUGAUUAAUCAAAUUACC